UGCACAUGCUCACUUGUUUUACAAAAUGUAAAAUUCAGGCUGGAACAGUGAUGCAAGAAAAGGGCAGGCUAAUUCCUUCUUCCUGGCAUUCUUUUCCUGCUGAAAGUCACCUCUGAUCAAGAGUGAUAUUCAAAACAACCAAAAUGAGCCACACAGCAGUUGAUUUUAAAGAAAAGUGAUUUGUAAGUGGGUACUCUUUUACAGAUGGGCCAGGUAUCCAUGCUUUGAGGGGAGAACCUGCUUAUCCUACUGCUGCCUAGUGAGAUUCAUUUGCCUGCACUGUGGCGGAGAGCGCCUCCAUUGCAACACUUAACAUGUGGAUCGACCUCCCCAGGCAAUCAUGGAUGAUUGUAGGAUGGUGUAUAUUCCACUGUCAGGUGUCAGCCAACAGGGUGCAACAGGAUUACAGGGUUUGGUUCGUAAGAAUUCCAUAGCUGUGAGGAACCCAAAGCCAUCAGAAAUGCAGCAGCAAAUAAAACCAACCAAUAAAUUGAAGAAAACAGCCUAAUAAACAACACUGAAAUUAGCACAGCUCAAUAAGAUCAAAACUAAGAGUCAAAAUAGCAACUAAACAGACUGUGAUAAAAGGACAGAAAUAAACGUUUUGAUCAUGAUGAUGAUGUAGAAUGCUGGAAAUUGUAUUAUUGUGAUUCAUUUGUUCUGUGUUUGUACCUACUGGUUUUGAUAAAAUAGUAACAGGUAAUUAAAAAUAAAA
Molecule: non-coding RNA, 715 nt
Organism: Pogona vitticeps (central bearded dragon)
Lineage: Eukaryota; Metazoa; Chordata; Lepidosauria; Squamata; Agamidae
Source: RefSeq, a predicted model, not a curated record